Molecule: ribosomal RNA, 511 nt
Filed under: Pseudomonas sp. PBBR
Lineage: Bacteria; Pseudomonadati; Pseudomonadota; Gammaproteobacteria; Pseudomonadales; Pseudomonadaceae
Description: bacterial SSU rRNA
Rfam family: Bacterial small subunit ribosomal RNA
Source: RNAcentral
UGUAUUUCCAUGCUUGACGCUGGCGGCAGGCCUAACACAUGCAAGUCGAGCGGAUGAGUGGAGCUUGCUCCAUGAUUCAGCGGCGGACGGGUGAGUAAUGCCUAGGAAUCUGCCUGGUAGUGGGGGACAACGUUUCGAAAGGAACGCUAAUACCGCAUACGUCCUACGGGAGAAAGUGGGGGAUCUUCGGACCUCACGCUAUCAGAUGAGCCUAGGUCGGAUUAGCUAGUUGGUGAGGUAAAGGCUCACCAAGGCGACGAUCCGUAACUGGUCUGAGAGGAUGAUCAGUCACACUGGAACUGAGACACGGUCCAGACUCCUACGGGAGGCAGCAGUGGGGAAUAUUGGACAAUGGGCGAAAGCCUGAUCCAGCCAUGCCGCGUGUGUGAAGAAGGUCUUCGGAUUGUAAAGCACUUUAAGUUGGGAGGAAGGGCAGUAAGUUAAUACCUUGCUGUUUUGACGUUACCGACAGAAUAAGCACCGGCUAACUUCGUGCCAGCCCGCCGCGGUA